This 1316-nucleotide ribosomal RNA is filed under the name uncultured bacterium. Its description in RNAcentral is "bacterial SSU rRNA". It matches the Rfam family "Bacterial small subunit ribosomal RNA", at positions 29 to 1393 of the family's 1533-position model. The record is from RNAcentral.
ACGUACGCUGGCGGCACGCCUAACACAUGCAAGUCGAACGCAGUAGCAAUACUGAGUGGCGAACGGGUGAGUAUAAUGUGGGUAUCUGCCUUUUGGUUUGGAAUAACACGGGGAAACUUGUGCUAAUACCGGAUAAGCCCUUACGGGGAAAGUUUUAACGCCGAAAGAUGAGCUCACACUUGAUUAGCUAGUUGGUAAGGUAAUGGCUUACCAAGGCUACGAUCAAUAGCUGAUCUGAGAGGAUGAUCAGCCACAUUGGGACUGAGACACGGCCCAAACUCCUACGGGAGGCAGCAGUGGGGAAUCUUGCACAAUGGAGGAAACUCUGAUGCAGCGAUGCCGCGUGAGUGAAGAAGGCCUUUGGGUUGUAAAGCUCUUUCGUCGGGGAAGAAAAUGACUGUACCCGAAUAAGAAGGUCCGGCUAACUUCGUGCCAGCAGCCGCGGUAAUACGAAGGGACCUAGCGUAGUUCGGAAUUACUGGGCUUAAAGAGUUCGUAGGUGGUUAAAAAAGUUGGUGGUGAAAGCCCAGAGCUUAACUCUGGAACGGCCAUCAAAACUUUUUAGCUAGAGCAUGAUAGAGGAAAGCAGAAUUUCUAGUGUAGAGGUGAAAUUCGUAGAUAUUAGAAAGAAUACCAAUUGCGAAGGCAGCUUUCUGGAUCAUUGCUGACACUGAGGAACGAAAGCAUGGGUAGCGAAGAGGAUUAGAUACCCUCGUAGUCCAUGCCGUAAACGAUGUGUGUUAGACGUUGGAAAUUUAUUUUCAGUGUCGCAGCGAAAGCGAUAAACACACCGCCUGGGGAGUACGACCGCAAGGUUAAAACUCAAAUGAAUUGACGGGGACCCGCACAAGUAGUGGAGCAUGUGGUUUAAUUCGAAGAUACGCGCAGAACCUUACCAACACUUGACAUGUUCGUCGCGACUCUAAGAGAUUAGAGUUUUCGGUUCGGCCGGACGAAACACAGGUGCUGCAUGGCUGUCGUCAGCUCGUGUCGUGAGAUGUUGGGUUAAGUCCCGCAACGAGCGCAACCCUCACUUUUAGUUGCCAUCAUUAAGUUGGGCACUCUGAAAGAACUGCCAGUGAUAAGCUGGAGGAAGGUGGGGAUGACGUCAAGUCCUCAUGGCCCUUACGUGUUGGGCUACACACGUGCUACAAUGGUAUCUACAACAGGAAGCAAGACUGCGAAGUUAAGCAAAUCCCUAAAAGAUACCUCAGUUCGGAUUGCACUCUGCAACUCGAGUGCAUGAAGCUGGAAUUACUAGUAAUCGUGGAUCAGCGUGCCACGGUGAAUGCGUUCCCGGGUCUUGUACACACCGC